Molecule: ribosomal RNA, 572 nt
Filed under: uncultured bacterium
Lineage: Bacteria
Description: bacterial SSU rRNA
Rfam family: Bacterial small subunit ribosomal RNA
Source: RNAcentral
UUAGCGGCGGACGGGUGAGUAAUGCUUAGGAAUCUGCCAUUUAGUGGGGGACAACAUUCCGAAAGGGAUGCUAAUACCGCAUACGUCCUACGGGAGAAAGCAGGGGAUCUUCGGACCUUGCGCUAAAUGAUGAGCCUAAGUCGGACUAGCUAGUUGGUGGGGUAAAGGCCUACCAAGGCGACGAUCUGUAGCGGGUCUGAGAGGAUGAUCCGCCACACUGGGACUGAGACACGGCCCAGACUCCUACGGGAGGCAGCAGUGGGGAAUAUUGGACAAUGGGGGGAACCUGAUCCAGCCAUGCCGCGUGUGUGAAGAAGGCCUUAUGGUUGUAAAGCACUUUAAGCGAGGAGGAGGCUACUGAGACUAAUACUCUUGGAUAGUGGACGUUACUCGCAGAAUAAGCACCGGCUAACUCUGUGCCAGCAGCCGCGGUAAUACAGAGGGUGCGAGCGUUAAUCGGAUUUACUGGGCGUAAAGCGUGCGUAGGCGGCUUUUUAAGUCGGAUGUGAAAUCCCCGAGCUUAACUUGGGAAUUGCAUUCGAUACUGGGAAGCUAGAGUAUGGGAGAGGAUG